GAUGAACGUUGGCGGUGUGCCUAAUACAUGCAAGUCGAACGGAGACUGUAGCAAUACUGUCUUAGUGGCGAACGGGUGAGUAACGCGUUGGUGAUCUGCCUCGAAGUGUGGAAUAACCUCCCGAAAGGGAAGCUAAUACCGCAUAGUCUCUCAAGGUUUAGAAAAUUGAGAGUAAAGGAUUUAUUCGCUUCGAGAGGAGCCUGCGUCCCAUCAGCUAGUUGGUAGGGUAACGGCCUACCAAGGCAAUGACGGGUAGGGGACCUGAGAGGGUCGGUCCCCCACACUGGUACUGAGACACGGACCAGACUCCUACGGGAGGCAGCAGUGAGGAAUAUUGGUCAAUGGGCGCAAGCCUGAACCAGCCAUCCCGCGUGCAGGAAGACGGCCCUAUGGGUUGUAAACUGCUUUUCCAGGGAGAGAAACUUACGCACGUGUUGCGUGACUGACGGUACCCUGGGAAUAAGCAUCGGCUAACUCCGUG
RNAcentral lists this ribosomal RNA (481 nucleotides) under uncultured bacterium. RNAcentral's name for it is "bacterial SSU rRNA". It matches the Rfam family "Bacterial small subunit ribosomal RNA", at positions 28 to 507 of the family's 1533-position model. The record is from RNAcentral.